This 392-nucleotide ribosomal RNA is filed under the name Aplanochytrium sp. RNAcentral's name for it is "partial small subunit ribosomal RNA". It matches the Rfam family "Eukaryotic small subunit ribosomal RNA", at positions 582 to 975 of the family's 1831-position model. The record is from RNAcentral. Lineage: Eukaryota; Bigyra; Thraustochytrida; Thraustochytriidae.
AUUCCAGCUCCAAUAGCGUAUAUUAAAGUUGUUGCAGUUAAAAAGCUCGUAGUUGGAUUUCUGGUAGGAGCGACCGUGCCGAACUUGAUUGUUCGUGUAUUGUGUUGUCUUCAGCCAUCCUCGUGGAGAACUUUUCUAACAUUAACUUGUUGGGAUUGGGACCCGCGUCGUUUACUGUGAAAAAAUUAGAGUGUUUAAAGCAGGCAUUAGCUUGAAUACAUUAGCAUGGAAUAAUAAGAUAGGACUUUGGUACUAUUUUGUUGGUUUGCAUACCAAAUUAAUGAUCAACAGGAACAGUUUGAGGAUAUUCGUAUGAACAUGUCAGAGGUGAAAUUCUUGGAUUUUGAUCAGACGAACUACUGCGAAAGCGUUUAUCAAUGAUGUCUUCAUCA